This 889-nucleotide long non-coding RNA is filed under the name Mytilus galloprovincialis (Mediterranean mussel). Lineage: Eukaryota; Metazoa; Mollusca; Bivalvia; Mytilida; Mytilidae. The record is from RNAcentral.
GGGCGCAGCUUUAUACAACCGCAGAGGUCGAACCCUGAACAGUUGGGGCAAGUAUGGACACAAAAUUUAAGCUUGAUACAGCUCUAAAUUUGGAUUGUGAUUAAAUGUUGACUACAACAUAGGUUUCUACACAGAGAUGAAUGUGGUCUAAGAACUUAAACUUAACCAGAUGCUCGCAGGGCGCAGCUUAAUACAACCGCAGAGGUCGAACCUGACAGUGGGGCAAGUAUGGACACAAAAUUUAAGCUUGAUACAGCUCUAAAUUUGGGUUGUGAUUAAAUAGUUGACACAACAUAGGUUUCUGACACAGAAUGAAUGUGGUCUAAGAACUUAAACUUAACCAGGUGCUCCGCAGGGCUUAGCUUUAUACGACCGCAGAGGUCGAACCCUGAACAGUUGGGGCAAGUAUGGACAAAACAUUCAAGCGUGAUACAGCUCUGAAUUUGGAUUGUGAUCAAAUUUUUGACAUUACAUGGGGUUUUUUUACACAAAACAAAUGUCAAGAUUUUACAAAUCAAUUAAAGAUUUCUUCUUCAAACUUUUUAAAUCUAAAAUUAAAUAGUUGACACAGCAUAGGUUUCUGACACAGAAUGAAUGUGGUCUAAUGAACUUAAAAGUUUAUUUUUGCCUUUGAGCAAAUUCACUAUGCUGUUGAAUAUUAAUCCUCUCAAAAAAAUGUUUGAAGAAAUUUUCUUUUUAUUUAUGAAAUCUGAAAUGAGAAAAAUUUAAACCCCUCCCCUUUUUUUUCACAUCCCCAUUUCCAUUUUUCCAAAACUGAUAUCAAUUUAAAUUUCUAAUGGAGUUUGCAACAAUAACUACUCUUUUAAAUACAUCAUAAAAUAUUAAAAUGUAAAAUAAAGUGCUUGUUAUCACUGAAUGGUAAAGAUUG